UACGUUACAGGCAAGAUGGCUGUCUCCAGGAAGUGGCUGUGAAUGCAGGAGCUGUGUCUGCUGCCUGUCUGGCUUUGUACAAAAGUCUAGUGUGAUUUCUCAGCAGCAAUGUGUUCUAACUCUUCUGUGUUCCUUUUUACACACUGAUGGAGUCAUUCCCUAGAGAGAAAUUUCUUAUCCACUGGGUAACACCGGCCCAGAAAUUAUUUUCUAAUAAUAGACUUGUGUGUCCACUAUUAAGACUGUUAAAUGUUUCUUUGCUUCCUUCAGAGUUGCUGAGGGCUCAGACCUCAUGAAUAGGUCACCACAAAAAUCAAGAGACAUGAGAGCCUUUAAAGCGUGUCUACUUAGAAUUCUCAGAACAAGCCACUAUCUGCUUCUUCGGUCCACUGUGAAGAACCUAUAAAGAAUUUGUAUCGUAAGCUGGAGAGUGUCUAAACAUGGACAACCAAAAUGGUUUGUCAAUUGGCACACUCCCAGUUUCGUGAUUAUAUGGAUAUGCAAGUGAUUCAACACUAUGUGAAACUGCAUUGGGUAAGACUUUAAAACAUUCUAUCUCCCCACCUACCAGGCCUUC
Molecule: long non-coding RNA, 577 nt
Organism: Sceloporus undulatus (fence lizard)
Lineage: Eukaryota; Metazoa; Chordata; Lepidosauria; Squamata; Phrynosomatidae
Exons: 3
Source: RefSeq, a predicted model, not a curated record